Molecule: unclassified non-coding RNA, 272 nt
Filed under: Hevea brasiliensis (rubber tree)
Lineage: Eukaryota; Viridiplantae; Streptophyta; Magnoliopsida; Malpighiales; Euphorbiaceae
Source: RNAcentral
CUCGCAAGCCCCUUAGGGUCCGCUACCGCCGCCGCCGAGCUGUACGGUCCCUCGGGGAGCUUCGAUUGCGGGUUCCGCUCGAUCAGAUGGAGGGAGAAGAAGGGCGGGAGCUGGAGCCAGACGACUUCGAAGUCGCCGAAAUUGGGGGUUUCGAUGCGGCUGAACCCUAGGACGUCCUGGUAGAAGGCGGCGAGGCGGUUGACGUCGGCGGUCUCUCGGGCGAUGUGGUUGAGUCGGAUGCCCUGGGCGGCCAUGGUGGGAGGGGGGCGAGG